This 382-nucleotide ribosomal RNA is filed under the name uncultured eukaryote. RNAcentral describes it as "partial 18S ribosomal RNA". It matches the Rfam family "Eukaryotic small subunit ribosomal RNA", at positions 592 to 976 of the family's 1831-position model. The record is from RNAcentral.
CAAUAGCGUAUAUUAAAGUUGUUGCGGUUAAAAAGCUCGUAGUUGGAUUUCUGCCGAGGACGACCGGUCCGCCCUCCGGGUGAGCAUCUGGCUCGGCCUAGGCAUCUUCUUGGGGAGCGUAUCUGCACUUCAUUGUGUGGUGCGGUAUCCAAGACUUUUACUUUGAGGAAAUUAGAGUGUUUCAAGCAGGCGUUUGCUUUCGAAUACAUUAGCAUGGAAUAAUAAGAUACGACACUGGUGGUCUAUUUUGUUGGUUUGCACACCAGAGUAAUGAUUAAUAGGGACAGUUGGGGGUAUUCGUAUUCCUGUGGAAGAGGUGAAAUUCUUGGAUCACAGGAAGACGAUCUUAGGCGAAANCANNNACCAUGGAUGUUUUCAUNAA